This 253-nucleotide ribosomal RNA is filed under the name uncultured bacterium. RNAcentral's name for it is "partial 16S ribosomal RNA". It matches the Rfam family "Bacterial small subunit ribosomal RNA", at positions 524 to 776 of the family's 1533-position model. The record is from RNAcentral.
UACGGAGGGGGCUAGCGUUGUUCGGAAUUACUGGGCGUAAAGCGCGCGUAGGCGGACCUGCAAGUCGGGGGUGAAAGCCCGAGGCUCAACCUCGGAACUGCCUUCGAUACUGCGGGUCUCGAGUCCGGGAGAGGUGAGUGGAAUUCCUAGUGUAGAGGUGAAAUUCGUAGAUAUUAGGAAGAACACCGAUGGCGAAGGCAGGUCUCUGGGCCAUAACUGACGCUGAGAAGCGAAAGCAUGGGGAGCGAACAGG